UUACAGGAUAGCGUGGGAAUAAAGCAUUUCAAAUGCCGCAUUCAGAGCACAGAAAUGUGGCGCGUGUCUCCCAAGUCUGAGGAGACUAUUUUUUAUCUCCUGAGCAGUGGACUUUGCGGUGGUUCCUAUUUUGUUGGCCCCAGAGAGCUGCCAUAGAAUGCCACAGUACGUGCUGGAGUCUUUCUGGCUGGCUGGAUGCGAUAGCUGCUGACAGACUUGCUCCAGACUCUUCGAAAAGUGAAAUUAGCCUCAUGUCUGCCUCCUACUAGCUACAAAACACCAAUGGUCUCCAAAUUACCCAGUGUUAUUGACGGGCUGCUCCCGUCUGGGGGCCACUGCAGAGGCACAGUGGAGGGACCCAGCGACGGAGCAGUGAGGUGAGACCGCAGCGCUGCGCAGAGGGGACAGCCGAGACUGAGGUGGGCCGAUUGGGGCUCCUGCGGCCGCACCUGUGGCCGGGAAGGUGGCCCAUGUGGGCGUUCUGGACACGGGGGAGGCAGCAGGUAGGCCGGGGAUGAGGCUCGGGUCUAGGAAGCUGGAUUUGGGGUUCCCCAAAUUUGAGCCACCCCAGUACCCAGUGUCAGGAGCACUUUUGUACACACAGAAUCCACCAUCCAAGGCGGCCCCAAGACGCUCAGUCUCCUCGGCUCUCCCAGCAACUGAGCCACUGCCUCAGACAAGAGCAGCAGGCCUUCCCGCUCACCAGGGCGGCGGGCCAGCAGGGAGGACGAGGGAAGGUGCCACCCGCUUCUCCCUGGAACCCCUGAACUGGGCAGGGACCGGGCUGGCACCCUGGCUGCUUCUCUGCCCUCUCCACUGCAUAGCCAUUUCUGCCCACAGAGUGAUGUCUGAGACAGGGCAACAGGCUGCCUCCUCCUCGGAGUGUGUGUUACCUUCUGCUUUUAUCUGAAGGCGGAGGAACAGCAAAGAAGGCUAGAGCAUGAGCAUCGUGCUGGGCCUGCAGCAUCCACAUCCUGCUCCUCAACUCUGCAUCAGCGUCUUCCUGAGACUGGCGAUGUCCCACUGCCUGGUGUCAGAAAGAGGCCCUUCCGAUACAGUGGUCUCUCUCCCCUUAGCCUUGGUUUUGCCUUCUGUGGUUUUGGUUCCCUCAACAACAUUAAUUGGAAAAUUCCAGAAAUAAGCAAGCUGUAAGUGUGAAGUUGCAGGUCAUCCUAGGUAGCGUGGUGAAAUCUCCCCAUUCCCAGUCUGUCCCCCAGUGCAGGACCCUCCUUCUAACCAGUGGGUCCACAGUGCACAUGCUAUCUCUGGCGGAGCUUCCCCCGGAGCCGUCCUGAGCACUACAUAGAGUGGCAGUGGCGCAGAGCUUUGUCCAGGUGACCUGUCUGUAACAGCCCUAUGCUGGGUCAAAAAGCCAGUGUCAUUCACGUCACUUCCUGUCCUCAUGUAGGCACUUCCUGUCCUCAUGUAGGCACUUCCUGUCCUCACGUAGGCACUUCCUGUCCUCACGUAGGCACUGCACCCUCUUGCGUCAGCAGCAGAAGAGAGAUGGGCGAGGACCGUAGGAGAGGAUGUCCUAAGGAAGUGAAGCCACACGUAACCUUCCUAGCAUGUUGUUACACUGACUCUGUUUGUUACAUUGUAGUUAACUGCCCGCUGUGCCUGUUGUGUCAGUGGAGCUCUAUCACAGGUGGGUGCGCAGGGAGACACACAGGAGGUGCAGGCUUCGGGACCAUCCGUGGUCUCAGUCGCCCACUGGAGGCUUGGGACGUACCUCAACGGUAAAGGAGCAAGGCUGAUGGCAGCAAAGACUUGGGGUGCCCCCCUCCUCCUCCACUGAAAGGGAGGGAGGCUUGUGCCUGGGAGACCAGGGCAGGGCAGAGAAGGCGUGCGGCCUGUGGGGAGGGCGCUACUGUCCAGUGUGCAGAUUUCAGGGUUGACCUCAGCCUGCGAGGCCAAAUCAGGUUGAGUCUGCAAGGCCAGCUCGGUUCUCCCGUCGGCCUCUCCAGUGCAGCCCAGGGCUCUGCGGUCCGAUCUCCUCUCUGCCCAGGCGAGCUGCUCCUCCCCAAAGUGUUCCUGCCCAAGCCAGGGCUUCAGCCUCCUGCACCAUCUUCACUAAGGACCACAGGAAAGAGCUGGAAAACUCAGCGGCUGCUGCUGAGAUUCACAGCGCGAUGGAGGUCCUGGCAGGCUCCUUUCUGUGUGGGCGGUGCCCCGUGGCCCCUCACUGAGCGCCGCUGGAGAAGAAAUGUCUGCUGCGCUGUGAAGACCGAAGUAACUCCCAGAGGUCCCCGCCUCUGAGGGGCGGAGGAGAGAUGCGCGUUCAGCGGGUCUGGGCCAAGCCGGUUCUUCCAAGUGCGUUUCCAGAAGGCAACGCAGCAGGGACUGCUGUCCCGCAGGAUGAGGCGCUCUGUAAGCGGUAAUCGGGGCUCGUAGCAGUCUGCCUCCCGCCGCCCUUGUCGGCAGCAGAAUUAGUGCACAGAUCCGCCCCGCAGUCACCCACCCGAAGGGCACAUGGGAUACCUCCAGGGCAGAACAGCCCUGGGAGGGCACGUGCGUGGGCACAAGCCCCCACCAGCUUGCGGUGAGUGAGCAGCCGAAGCUGCUGCUGCCCCUCACCAUGCAGGACCUCAGAGGAGGCCGCGGUCUGCAGGAGCAGGCGGGCCGCACCCGCAAAGCCAGCGGCUGUGCAGUGACAACGCCAGAGGAGCAGGCGGGCAGUUUCAGUACCCCCAGUCAUUACAGGUGAACGCUCAAACCAAAAUGCUAACUUCCAAGAUUAUCUCAGUUAUUACUUAACAAUAAUGCUGCCUCUGCCAAACAAGUUAUUCUUUGUGCAUAAAAAUAGCAAAUGAGCUCAGUAAUCCACAGCACCCUUUUAGGGAAAGAAGGCCAUGUCAAGAAUGUAUCUCCUCGAAAUUGAAUCAUGUUAACAAAGUCCAGCGAAGUGGGGCCGGACCAGGCAGGUAGGGCUGGAUGCCCGCUCAGGUGCAGGGUUGGGGCGCUAAGCCGUGACGCUACUCUCAGGGAUUGUGGCCUCCACAGUCGGUAAACCCUGUGCUCACCGUGGUGGCAGAGACGGGAGUGCCGCAGCACUCUGAGCUCCUGUGUGCUCAGCAGUCUUCAUCCCAAACCUCAGAACCGGGCCCCUGCGAUGUUCGGGGAGCUCAGCCUUCGGCUCAGUUGGCAACAAACCCGGAAAAGAGUCCGUUGCUUCUUUGAUAAGCAUCUGAGGAGCUCAUGGCGAUGUGAGGAAAUCUUCCAACUGGAAAUGUGUGAGGGAAAGCCAAGGCCCUGAAGUUUCAGUGGGCUCCAUCUCAAUCGGUGAAGGUCCCUGCAUGCACGGCCUGGUUACACACAGCAGGCGCAGCUCCACUCCCGCACCGGAGGAGCCCGUGGACCAGGGCAGGGCGGCCCUGAUGCCAGAGGUCGGAGGGAAUGAGUGUGUGAACUCCACGCAGUGCCUGCUGACCCUGCCGGCCUGGAUCUCAUCAUCCCUAGGAAGCCAGCAGAGGCCUGUAUUGGGGGAAGGUCAUUCUGAUAGCAGUGUGGCCCACAGCUUGGGUGGGGCAAGACAAGAGAGGGAGACAGGGAGACCCCGGGGGCUGCUGGGGGGGGAGGUGUUUGAAAUGAGGCAUGUCCAGAGCAGCAGCGCCAGAAGAGACGGUCUUUCUGGGGCAGAGCAAUAGGAUGGAUUGAUUACCUGAUUUAUGUGAUAAAGGGAGAGAUCAUCUUACUUUUAUAAAAUAGGGAUGCAAGAGGCUUGGGAGGUUUAGGAGGUCGAUGGGGAGUCAGAACUCACACUGCAGACAUCUCAGGACCCUGAAAGAGUCCGGGUGACAUCUUGAGAAAGCAGUCGGAUGGAGUGUGAACGCCACGUGCAGUGACUGAGACCAAGUACCAGCCAGGAGAGCAUGGAUGAGGCGAUGCCGAAUAUCACAGCCGCAGCAGAAACGCCGGACCCGCGGGCAGGUUGAGCAAGCCCCUCCACCACUUCCAGCUGAGAAGUGCAAUGCAGGCCUCAGUUUCCCCCCAUCUCAAGGCUCUCUGGACUGCUCUAUAAGGUCACCCAAGAACCCAGGGGCAGCUACCUUUACUGUCAGCUGGUUCCGGCUAGACUCAAACACCUCGUUCCUUAACCAGGAGCCUUUUCCUGUCUGCGUGAGAGCAGGGUGUGUAUAUCUGCGCUCAGUGAAGGUCACGGUUCUCCGUGUCUGUCUUCCCGUGCUGACACACGUAGUGCCCAGAUGCACAGCCCUGACCCUUUCUCCGGUACGUGCUGGACCAGGCCUGUUCAGCCUGAGGGGCCACAGGUCACCCUACCUCGGGAGCCAGCGUCCAGCUUCUACUCUAUGCCAGGGUCCUGCUGUCACUGCCACGGGCUCUGUGGCUGGACGAGACUGCUUUUUGGCUCAAGAAAAAUUGUUUUUGCAAUUGUCUUAUCUGAGCGCACAAAAUAAUUUAGGGGCUCACACACCGUGUAUAAUCAAAUUACCCAUUAAAAAAUACUGGAAGGAAACUGUUCUUAUUGCUUCC
Chinchilla lanigera (long-tailed chinchilla) is the source of this 4494-nucleotide long non-coding RNA. RefSeq lists it as uncharacterized. The record is from RefSeq and is a predicted model, not a curated record. Lineage: Eukaryota; Metazoa; Chordata; Mammalia; Rodentia; Chinchillidae. The transcript is spliced from 5 exons.